This 393-nucleotide ribosomal RNA is filed under the name uncultured bacterium. Its description in RNAcentral is "bacterial SSU rRNA". It matches the Rfam family "Bacterial small subunit ribosomal RNA", at positions 362 to 772 of the family's 1533-position model. The record is from RNAcentral.
UAUUGCACAAUGGGGGAAAUCCUGAUGCAGCGACGCCGCGUGAAGGAAGAAGUAUCUCGGUAUGUAAACUUCUAUCAGCAGGGAAGAAANUGUCGGUACUUGAAUAAGAAGCCCCGUCUAACUACGUCCCAGCAGCCGCGGUAAUACGUAGGGGGCAAGCGUUAUCCGGAUUUACUGGGUGUAAAGGGAGCGUAGACGGAAGAGCAAGUCUGAUGUGAAAGGCUGGGGCUUAACCCCAGGACUGCAUUGGAAACUGUUGUUCUAGAGUGCCGGAGAGGUAAGCGGAAUUCCUAGUGUAGCGGUGAAAUGCGUAGAUAUUAGGAGGAACACCAGUGGCGAAGGCGGCUUACUGGACGGUAACUGACGUUGAGGCUCGAAAGCGUGGGGAGCAAA